RNAcentral lists this long non-coding RNA (1412 nucleotides) under Rattus norvegicus (Norway rat). Its description in RNAcentral is "long non-coding RNA NONRATT013568". The record is from RNAcentral. Lineage: Eukaryota; Metazoa; Chordata; Mammalia; Rodentia; Muridae.
UCCACAAGACAGAGGUCUGCCACCUUGUUUUCUGCCUUUGCCCUGCUUUGCUAGUUGUGUACUGGAUCAUUCUGCUCUUCAACCCUAGAGCUCACCACUUGUCCCUAGUAUCCUGGUAGUUCGGACAGUGGUGUAUUAACUUGUCUUUGGUUGGCAUUUGACUUGUGAAUGAAGAUUCUGAUUACUAUAUGUGUUUGACUAGGGGACAAUCAAAAGAUCAGAACCACUACAACAAAGGCUGAUGUGUGCAUGUUAAGGAUGUUUUAUGUUAUGUAAUUUGCGGAGAUGGCUUAGCCUCUAGGGCUGUCAUUUGUAUAUAAUACUAGGACUUAAAGUAUUCAGGACGGGGAGUCAGGAAGGGAAGGUGGAAGGACAUGGAAACCUUGAACAAGAGUUGGAAUUCAAGAAGAUGGCCUGGAACCCGUGCAGUGUCUCACCGCCUCCAGCUUCAAUGAUGUUUGUAUCCUGCAGAAGAAGCUAGUGUCCUUAGGAGCAUCUGGCCUAGGACUAGAGAAGCUAAAGGAAGACCCAGGGAAAUUGUAGCCGCUGAAGGCCUGGCUGUAGGACUUGCUGUUUCCCCGUACCAAGGCUACAUAAACUGUUAGCAGUAAAUGAAAAUGAGUAUUUUACUGAGCUGCAGUUGAAAGAAGAAAUAUUGUAGGAGAGAAAAGCAAUUAUUAUUAAGAGAAGAAAGACAUUCUUUUGUGGCUGAAAAGCUGAACCUGGAAUUCAGGAAAUGGAAUCUAAAUCUAGAGAUGUACCAUGUAGAAAAUCUGAAGUGGGUGGGUUACAAAUAAUUAAGCACACUAAUUUGAAGAAAACCAUCCUUAAACAUGUGUACACAUGGAUUGCACUUAGUAUCUGUCAGUGACUGGCCUUAUUACUGUCCUCCCCCUUCCUCUUCUUGUUCCCCCAUCCCUCUUAACAGGGGCACCACAGUAGCAGUCAGUUUGCUCUUAAGCAGUGUAACUCCGUUUUAUGGUUACUAGGAGCUACAACUCUGGUUUCCAUGUAUGCUGAAGACCGUCUAGUUUCCUGGACUGCAUUGCCAGUUUUGCCUGGGAUCCCGAUUCUCAAGAAUUGAGUAUCUGAACUUCUGAUCCGAAGCUCAUUCCUCCAGUCAGACAACUGCCCUGCUAGUAUUUCUGAUCUGCCCUCUUCCUGUGUUAGCCCAAAGUGUGGGCCCCAUUUUCUGUUCAGUGCAGUAGGAAGAUUUUGUUCACAGAUCUUACUGGUUGUGUAGCUCGACAAGGCACUUUGGCUUCCUGAGCCUUAGUUGACUUCACUGCAAACUAAAGCCAAUACCCUCAGUUCCUUCAACCCUGUAAGAAUUUUGUCAACCUCAAAGGUUGUUUCUGGAAAUACUUUGCAAAUUGUAAAAAAAAAAAAAAAAAAAAAAAAAAGAGAGAGAA